AAAGUCGUAACAAGGUUUCCGUAGGUGAACCUGCGGAAGGAUCAUUAAUGGUUCCCACCCAAUUUGUUUGUGCACUGUUUUGGGCCUACUGGUUAGGUCCUCUUAUUUUUUACCUUUUUUUUAUUAUAAACUGUUGAUUUACUAAACAUAAUAGUAUACACUUACAACUUUUAGCAACGGAUCUCUAGGUUCUC
This 194-nucleotide unclassified non-coding RNA is filed under the name Basidiomycota sp. RNAcentral describes it as "partial contains small subunit ribosomal RNA, internal transcribed spacer 1, and 5.8S ribosomal RNA". The stretch from base 1 to 47 matches the Rfam family "Eukaryotic small subunit ribosomal RNA", at positions 1785 to 1831 of the family's 1831-position model. Lineage: Eukaryota; Fungi; Basidiomycota. The record is from RNAcentral.